Long non-coding RNA from Etheostoma cragini (Arkansas darter), 475 nucleotides. RefSeq lists it as uncharacterized. The record is from RefSeq and is a predicted model, not a curated record. The transcript has 3 exons. Lineage: Eukaryota; Metazoa; Chordata; Actinopteri; Perciformes; Percidae.
UGUGUGUGUGUGUGGUCGAUGUGUGUGUGUGUGUGUGUGUGUGUGUGUGUGUGUGUGUGUAUGUCUUUUAAACAAAGGGAGCGGGUCUCCCUUUUCUAUCUCCGCUUUAUCUCUAGGAAUAUUGCUAAGAUCGUUUUUUUUACAGUGUUGCAGUUUAAAUCUGUGUAUUUCAUAUUUUUAUACAUUUUGAAUACACUAAGGUGAUGUGCAGCUUGCUUCGACACCGCAAUAACUUAUGCUUUUAAGGUUACACUACCUGCAUGUGAAGCAGUACCUGUCCAUUUCUUGCAUUUAUCCCAUGUGUGUGAACCCACAACCAUAAUAUCAAAUGCAAACCUGAGCAACAGUUCCAACCGGAUAGAUCCAUUAGAUAGUAUGAGUGCAGACUGCUACUGUAACAUUCCCGUACAACUUUAUUCCCAAUUUGUACCUUAUCUUCUUCUAACCUUUUAACCCUUUAACCCGUCUCGUCAGU